Salvia hispanica is the source of this 1742-nucleotide long non-coding RNA. RefSeq lists it as uncharacterized. The record is from RefSeq and is a predicted model, not a curated record. NCBI's taxonomy places the organism in Eukaryota, Viridiplantae, Streptophyta, Magnoliopsida, Lamiales, Lamiaceae.
ACAACUCUUCUCGCUCAUCAAUUAUCUUCAAUGAUUUGAAAAUCCAUUUUGAUCUUAUAUAUCUUCAGAUUUGUCAAUUGGGCCUGUUCAAGGACCAUCUACCAGUGGGCCUAAGACUUUGGAUUUGUGAAUUUUUAUAGGCAAUUUUGAUGCAUGAGGGGGAAGAAAAACAGGAAAUUGAAUUGACAAAGAAGAUUGUGAAUGAUGUGUUUCCUCAAACAAAGAGGAGGCGGAAGCGGCAUUGUUGCUCGCGGCGGGUGGUCUGUUGGGCCUGCUUGACGCAUUGCUGGUACGAGUCCAAGACCUCCUCGAAGCGCUGGCAGGAGCGGAAGCGGCAGCCCUGCACCUGCUGCCUGCAUUGGUUAUAGUUUUCGCUGGCGUCUUCGUCGAAGGUGGCGGUUAGUGCUAGUGCUGCCUUGGUUGCCAUUAUGAUAUAUAUAUGCGAGAGAGAAUUAAGAUGCAAUACCAAUCGAGAAUCAUGAUUCAUGGCCAUCGCCGACUCAGAUCUACAUUACCGGAGAAUGAAGAUAGCGUUAAACAACGACCAGUGAGCAAUCAAUGAAACCGCUGUUUUUUUUUUCAUGCGACAAGGUAUAGAUUAGUACAGUAGUUUCAAUGCAUGACCGACGAACAAAGUGCGUGUUAGCAUCUACGAAAUGCAGUAGAAUGUAGCAUUCGUAUUUGCAAUGGAAUGUUUGAAUGUGCAGAUUAGAGUUUUAUCGGAAGUGCAGAUUUGGUUAAUUGUCAAGGAAAAUUAAUUUAUGGAGUAUGUUUUAAAUCUUUUGCAAUUUUAUAGCCUGAGGGGAUUAUGUUGUUUUACUUUUACUCCAUCACUAAUUAUAAUCAUACUCACUCUUUACCUUGUUAUGUUGCAAAAGUUUGAACUUCACCUAAUUUGCUUCGGUUUGUGUUAGAUUUUCUUGCAUUAUAAGAUAGAUUAAACUCAUGUCCUAGAGAUGUAAAAGUGAAAUUAAGCUUAACUGUAGCUCUGUCAAUUCUUAGUUGAAGUAGUGCAAUGUUUGGUGCCCUACAAAAUUAAGAUUUACUGUAGCUCUCUAUGCUUAAAAGUUAAAGUGCUUCAGGCUGGUUUUGAUGUGAGGCCUUCGAUUAUGUCCAUGCGGUUUCCAACUGCUCUCCCUUUCAUCUUAUGAUAUUUUCUCUCUUGCAGUUCAUCUUUUGUUGCUGUUUACUGAGAGAAUGGUAUAAAAUCGUAUACCAUACGCUCAGCAUAUUUAUCCCAACGUUAGGACAUUGAAAGGCUUCAUAUACAAUUAAGAAUGGUGUAGUAAAAGUCAGCCAUUCGCAAAGGGUUUCCCUAACUGACAAUAGGAAUUUCUGCACAAGAUCAUAUGCAUGUUAGAAUAUUGUGAAGGAGGUUUCUAGUGUUGGCCAUUAUUUCUACGAUUAAGGCAGCAGGCGCAGUCAACUUUUUCUCUGUCCUGUUUUUGUAAAACAAUCCAUUAAAGGUCCUGCAUGAUAAGAAUUAAGAAGAAAUGACUUUACGAUGUGGGAGACUCUGGAACGUCAUGAAUCACAUAAAUGAGUUAAUGGUGUAAAUGAUUUAGCAUAAGAAAUUUGAAUUAUCUGACAGAAGAAUGUUUGUGAAAUGGAUCUUAGGAUCACUAUGGAGCAGUAUGUUUGUACUUGCUUGUGUAUCAUUCUUCCUGUUUGGAGAGCAAAAAUGUUUCCUUCGAUAUAGAGUUUAAUAUCGAGUCCGAUGCUGAUGAUGUACAAAUACUUAA